UAUUUAUCAUGUUUCCGCAAACGGUUUGUGGGGUUGUGCAAUGGCGGGGACGUCUUCCACAGCUGAAAGAAAUAGUGCCUCAUCCUCAACACAGCGAAGCUCCCAAGUCCAACAGCGGGCCUAACACCUUAAUAAACAAGUGUUUUGGCCUUACUGAACACUUUAGACGCAUAAUCACACGGAUUUUCCGAGCUAUUGGAUUCGAGCUCUGAAAAUGGCGAUUUCGUCGCCUCCUAUACUCUCACCACUACUUCUAAAUACAAAAUCUAAUUUUGGUUCAUUAUCUCCUCCAUCCAUUCCUCUCGUGGAUAUCUGCUCCAGACCCACCAAUAAGCUAUCAUCGGCCCUCGUCGUCUUAUGUUACAAAUCGGGAAAUGGGUUGGCGAGUGAAGAGAAGAGAAUCUUACUUGAGCGGUAUGGUUACGAUGCCGACGAGUUCUUAUCUCAGGCUUCACCUAAGUUCAAGAAGAAAAAGGAACAGCCAAAAACGCGAAGAGGGCAGUCCGACUUACCAGAGGACCCUAAGCCUGCGCGGACUACGCAUAAGUUGCUUCAGGUUCUUGGAGGAAAGGCUCGAAGAAAGAAGCUGAUCUCACCAAAGGGCAUGGAUGUACGGCCCAUGAUGGAAGUGGUUAAAGGUGCAGCCUUUGACAUAUUACAGGCAGCUGGUGGCUGUCCUGCAUCCUUGAGGCCAGGACGCUGGUUAGACUUGUACAGUGGUACGGGUUCUGUUGGAAUUGAAGCACUCAGCCGAGGGUGUUCUGAGGUGCAUUUUGUUGAGAUGGAUCCUUGGGUUGUAUCAGAUGUUUUGCGCCCAAAUUUAGAGCAGACUGAGUUCCUUGAUGCUUCAGUCAUUCACACUGUACGUGUGGAAAAUUUCUUAGAACGUGCGGAGAAAUUUGUAGGUGACAGCAGUCCUUUUGAUUACAUUAGUGUCACCCCUCCAUAUACACAAGUGGAUUAUGGAGUGCUGAUGAGGCAAAUUUCAGAAUCACUCUUGAUUGGAGAGGAUACAUUUAUUGUAGUUGAGUAUCCUUCAAGAACUGUCAUGCUGGAUUCUUGUGGAUCCCUUGUGAAGUUGUUAAUGUUGAGCUUCUAUCACAUUGGCAUCCAAGCCAUGGUUACCACAUGUAUUGGUCAACAAACCAACCCCUUUGACAACUCAUCCAACAAUCCCCCAUAAAAUCAAAAUUUGAGCGAAUUAGAUUAUCUAGCCAUUAUCGCCUCGAGACUUGAAACUCUUGAUUGGCUGAAAGAAAAAGUAGAGAUGCUUGAAGCCUCUGCAUUCACUAAAGUCAAGAAGAUGAGGGAGGACUAUCAUAGAUGCUAUUAUGAAGAAGAAAAAAGUGAAGACGAGCAUGACGACGCAGACGCAGCAGAUUUCGUUGCACCAAAAUUGAAUUUACAAAAUUCAAUGGAGGUGACCCUCGAGGAUGGUUUUUAAAAGUAGAAAAAUGCUUUAAAUAUUAUGAUACACUUGAAGAAGAGAAGGUGGACGUGGUGUCAAUGGCUUUGGAAGGAUGCCCUCGCUCUGUUCGCUUGGAUCAACCGUGAAUGAACAUUGCAUUCCUGGGAUGAACUCAUUACAGUUUUUCAAGAAAAUUUCGAGCCCCUAGAAUACGUGAAUCCUGAUGAUUACCUUUAUAGUAUCAAACAAGAAGGCUCAGUACAAGAGUAUCGCUUGGAGUUCGCUAAGAGAUCUGCCCGAGUAAAGCACUGGCCUGAGCACUAUUUGCUUGGAACAUUUCUGAAUAGGUUGCAUGGAGAAUUGAGAGCUGACGUGCGAAUACAUAAGACUAAAUCAGUAUAUCAAGCAAUCAGUCUUGCCCUAGAGUUUGAAGGCAAGCUGCAACCAUGAGGGCCUAAGCCCAAUCUGAUGCAAACCCAAAAUCAGUCCCCUAAUGCUCUAGCCUCCUUCACACGUGAGCAAAAACACACCACAAAAUCUUCAUUGUCAAACAUGUAUUCAAACUCGUCCAGAUUUCUUGCUUUGUCGGCCUCCACGACUAGAAACAUGAGUUUGAUGGCAUCCAAAUUUCCUCCCAUGGACGCCGAAUAGCAGAGGUGAAGAGACAAGGGUCUCUAUUUUCAGUGUGGAGAUUUUUUUCAGGCUUGAGCAUCGCUGCAAGGGAUCCUUUGCUUUAUGGGAAAUUACAGCCGAAGGUGUGGAAGUCAUGUCUCCUCUUGAAGAUGCUGACAAUGGCGAAACUGAACCUGAAAAUGCUGAGAUUUCAUUAAAUGCUAUUCUAGGAAGCAACUUUAGAUCUGCUAUGAAGCUAGGAGGUAUGUUGGGUGAGUGUGAGGUGCUGUUGUUGGUAGAUAGUAGGUUAGGUCCACCCACAAUUUUAUAUCUGAUUCAUUAAUACAAGAACUCCAUUUGCCAAUCCAGUCUAUUUCUUCUUUCAGGGUCUAGAUUAGGGGGAUAGUUGCAUAGGGCGUUGCAACCGCAUCUGUAGAGAAGUGGAAAUUCAGCUUAUUGGAUUGACAAUCAAGGAAGAUUUUUUCCCCUUUUCAUUGGAAGGGGCUGAUCUGGGUCUUAGUAUUAAAUAGCUAGCGUCCCUAAACAUGGUGCAAGCCAAUUGGAAUUAACUUUUUAUGAUUUUUUGGUUGAAUGGCAAGAGGUAUAAGCUUCAGGGACUCCCUAAUAACACUAGAGAUGCUCAGUUCAACUCAAUUCAACAAAUCGAAGCUUUCGCUAACUCUAAUUCAUUCCCAAGUUCCGACCUAGAACCAGUGUUUGAAGAGUUUCCCUCUGUUUUUGAAAAAUUUAUUAGUUUGCCUCCAUUUAGAAUCCAUUCACAUGCCAUUCCCUUACUUCCAGGGACUAGUCCUCCUAAUUUACGAUCGUACAGUACCUACAUUAUCAAAAGGAAGAAACUGAAAAGCAAGUCGAAGAAUUGCUGAAGAAGGGGUUCAUCCAACCUAGGUCUAGUCCUUUCGCAAGCCCAAUCUCACUGGUUACAAAGAAAGAUGGGUUGUGGUGAUUUUGUGUGGAUUAUUGGAAAUUGAAUAACAUUACAAUUCUUGAUAAGUAUCCAAUUCCUAACAUCGAUGAGUUAUUAGAUGAAUUACACGAAGCAGUUUACUAUUCCAAACUUGACCUCCAUUCGAGAUACUAACAAAUUUGUAUGACGCCUGAGGAUAUUCACAAAAUUGCUUUUCAUACUCAUUCCAGACACUAUGAAUUUACAGUUAUGUCUUUUGGUUUAACUAAUGCCUCGACCACGUUUCAAGCUGCUAUGAAUGAUUUGUUUCAUCCUUAAUUACGGAAGUUUGUAUCAAUUUUUUUUAUUACAUUUUGGUAUACAAUUCCACUUUUCAACCGCAUCGGGAUCAUUUAACACAGUUUUGUGAGCCUUGCAGGAAAAUGUGGUGUCAAAUUAAAAAAAAUGCUUUAUUGGGAAGCUAUGGUUUUGCUUUCUAGGGCACAAAAUUUCUGCCUAGGGAGUUGAAGUUGAGGCUGAAAAGGUGGAGGUAGUGCGAGAAUUGCCCAUUCCUACAAAUGUGAAGGAGUUGCGUGGUUUCGUGGGCCUAGUUGGGUGUUACCUGCACUUUGUGAAGAAUUUGGGGAUCAUUGCCAGCCCACUUAAUUAACUAAGGAUGCCUUCUUAUGGUUUGAACAAGCUCAAGAGGCCUUUAAUCACCUUAAGCUUGCAUUGAUGAUGGCACUUGUCUUACAGUUGUGUAAUUUUGAGAAAGAAUUUACAAUUGAAUGUGGUGCCCCAAAAAAAGGGAUUAGAGCUAUCAUUAUGCAAAACAAUCAUCUCAUUGCUUACUUCAGUAAAGGGUUCUCUGUCUCUAAUCGCUACAAGUUUGCCUGUGAUCAUGAACUUUUAGCAUUAGUUCCUAAAAGAUAGUGCUAUUACCUCCUUGGGGGGCAUUUCUUUGUAAGAACUGAUCAUGCUAGCCUUCAAUAUCUUCUACAACAAUGCAUCACAACUAACACUCAACAACAGUUGAUUAUCAAACUCUUGCCCUUUAAUUUUACUAUCAUCCACAAGGCAAGUGUGGAUAAUAAGGGGGCAGAUGCCUUGUCACAACAACCCGAACAUGUAGAUUUUUUUUCCAAAUGGCAGUGCCUUUCACCUUUGAGUUGCAUGAUCUCAUGUCUGAGCUGGCACUAGAUCCCUUCACGAAUGAGAUACUUUGGAUUUGCAAAGGGAUCUGUCUUCUCGACCAAGAUUCCACUUGGUUGACCAAAAACUCUUAUAUGAUAACCGGGUUGUCAUCCCUUACACAUCAUGAUUAAGACUGACAUUACUAGUAGAAGCUCACUCAUCUGCUGUUGGUUGGCAUGGUGGUUUUCUUAAAACAUUUAAGCGGCUCAUAGAGAACUUUUUAUUGGCCUUCCAUUAAAAUAGAUGUGAAGGCAUAUGUGCGACAUUGUAUCACUUGUCAGCAUAAUAAGUAUCAAACCUUGGCACCAGUAGGUCUUUUUCAACCCUUAUCAGUACCCUCACAGAUUUGGGAAGACCUCUCCCUUGACUUCAUCACCAGCCUUCCAAAGUUGGGUGGUUUUGAGUUUAUAUUGGCUGUAGUAGAUCAUUUGAAUAUGCCUACUUCAUUGCUCUUGUACAUCCUUACAUUGCAAAGAAGUUCAUAGCAAUCUUUUGCGAGGAUCCGAUUGCAUGGGGUGCCACGCUCAAUUGUAUUUGAUAGUGACCUUGUCUUGAUGAGCUCUUUUUAGCAAGAAUUAGUCCGGCUAAGCCAGACCAAGUUAAAUGAGUACUGUCUAUCAUCCUCAAACGGAUGGUCAAAUAGAGGUAAUCAAUCAGGGCCUCAAAGCCUAUUUGUGAUGUUUUGCACAUGAGCAACCUUGACUAUGGCACAAGUUUCUUUGCUGGGCAGAAUAUUCGUACAUAACAGGUCAUCAUACAUUAACAAACUCCUCUCCAUUCAAGUUAAUGUAUGGUAGAGAUCCACCUCCCUUGCUUCCUUAUGUGAAAUGCAAAACUCCUAUAAUAGACUUAGAAGAUCAAUUGGAAACUAGAGAUGUAAUGCUCAAACUCUUAAAGGAUAAUUUGCGCAAAGCCCAAGAUCGGAUAAAGGCUUAUGCUAACAAGCAUAGGAGAGAAGGUGAGUAUGCUGAGGCUUGAGGGUGAUGUGGUGUGGUUGCGAGUACAACUUUUUUGCCAACAAUCACUUACCAAGUAGAAGUUUGAAAAAUUGUCACCUCGCAGCUUUGGCCCCUACAAGAUACUUAGGAAAAUUGGGAAGGUAGCCUAUGAAUUAGACCUCCCUUCAAAUGCGUGAAUUCACCCCAUUUUUCAUGUGUCUCUUUGACAGCCCACUCUUGGGGUUGAUCCGCCCAUUAUCCCAGCCUCCUUACCACUACUUGUUGAUUUCAAUUGCAUGUGGUGCCUGACCAAGUUUUAGAUCAUCGCUGGACUCGCCAUAACUUGCUGGAACUGUUCGUGGAAUGGCAUGGACAACCUGUGAAAGAGUCUUGCUGGAUAACUGAUAGACAGUUCGGGCGGACUCUCUUGGCAAUUUAUGGACCAACAUGGGCCCAAAAAAAGAGGAGAUGAGAAAUUUACACAAGGCAGGCGCUGUUGAUUUGGUAGGAAAUUGUUUCAUCAUGGUGGUUCGACAGAAUUUGUGAUGUGGCAGUCGAAUAGCAGGCCAAGCUACCCCUCUCGUGAUUAUAGGUGGCAUUGAGCUCUAUGUUUCUGUUCAUGGUCUGCUACAACAUGCUGAUUAUCGGUCGCCGGUAGAAUUGAUCCCUGUUAUUGUGUCACUUGAGCGAGAUCUAUGUUUUGAUCUUUUUCUCUUUCUUUACUUCCGUUAAAUUUACUUGAUGAUCCUGAUAUAUUACACAAUUCUGUAAUGCUGAUUAUAAAUAUAAUGUGGAAUCCCAUGAGCUGAAAAUAUGAUUAAUUGCAGAGCAAGUUCUCUACAAA
This is an RNA transcript of Prosopis cineraria, 5900 nucleotides long. RefSeq lists it as uncharacterized. The transcript is spliced from 10 exons. The record is from RefSeq and is a predicted model, not a curated record. Lineage: Eukaryota; Viridiplantae; Streptophyta; Magnoliopsida; Fabales; Fabaceae.